UACGGAGGAUCCGAGCGUUAUCCGGAUUUAUUGGGUUUAAAGGGAGCGUAGGCGGAAAUGUAAGUCAGUGGUGAAAUCCUGCAGCUUAACUGUAACAGUGCCGUUGAUACUGUGGAGCUAGGAUUUGGUUGCUGUGGGUGGAAUGUGUGGUGUAGCGGUGAAAUGCUUAGAGAUCACACAGAAUAUCGAUUGCGAAGGCAGCUCACAAAGCCAAGAUUGACGCUGAGGCACGAAAGUGUGGGGAUCAAACA
Molecule: ribosomal RNA, 251 nt
Filed under: uncultured prokaryote
Description: partial 16S ribosomal RNA
Rfam family: Bacterial small subunit ribosomal RNA
Source: RNAcentral